This 418-nucleotide ribosomal RNA is filed under the name uncultured bacterium. RNAcentral describes it as "bacterial SSU rRNA". It matches the Rfam family "Bacterial small subunit ribosomal RNA", at positions 364 to 774 of the family's 1533-position model. The record is from RNAcentral.
UUGGACAAUGGGCGCAAGCCUGAUCCAGCCAUGCCGCGUGCAGGAUGAAGGCCCUCGGGUUGUAAACUGCUUUUGUACGGAACGAAAAGCCUCUUUCUAAUAAAGAGGGGUGAUGACGGUACCGUAAGAAUAAGCACCGGCUAACUACGUGCCAGCAGCCGCGGUAAUACGUAGGGUGCGAGCGGUAAUCGGAAUUACUGGGCGUAAAGCGUGCGCAGGCGGUCUUGCAAGACAGUGGUGAAAUCCCCGGGCUCAACCUGGGAACUGCCAUUGUGACUGCAAGGCUGGAGUAGGGCAGAGGGGGAUGGAAUUCCGCGUGUAGCAGUGAAAUGCGUAGAUAUGCGGAGGAACACCGAUGGCGAAGGCAGUCCCCUGGGCCUGUACUGACGCUCAUGCACGAAAGCGUCGGGAGCAAACA